RNAcentral lists this ribosomal RNA (497 nucleotides) under uncultured bacterium. RNAcentral's name for it is "partial 16S ribosomal RNA". It matches the Rfam family "Bacterial small subunit ribosomal RNA", at positions 28 to 507 of the family's 1533-position model. The record is from RNAcentral.
GACGAACGCUGGCGGCGUGCCUAAUACAUGCAAGUUGAGCGCUGAAGGUUGGUACUUGUACCAACUGGAUGAGCAGCGAACGGGUGAGUAACGCGUGGGGAAUCUGCCUUUGAGCGGGGGACAACAUUUGGAGACGAAUGCUAAUACCGCAUAAAAACUUUAAACACAAGUUUUAAGUUUGAAAGAUGCAAUUGCAUCACUCAAAGAUGAUCCCGCGUUGUAUUUGCUAGUUGGUGAGGUAAAGGCUCACCAAGGCGAUGAUACAUAGCCGACCUGAGAGGGUGAUCGGCCCCAUUGGGACUGAGACACGGCCCAAACUCCUACGGGAGGCAGCAGUAGGGAAUCUUCGGCAAUGGACGAAGGUCUGACCGAGCAACGCCGCGUGAGUGAAGAAGGUUUUCGGAUCGUAAAACUCUGUUGGUAGAGAAGAACGUUGGUGAGAGUGGAAAGCUCAUCAAGUGACGGUAACUACCCAGAAAGGGACGGCUAACUACGUG